This 1310-nucleotide ribosomal RNA is filed under the name Bacillus pumilus. RNAcentral's name for it is "bacterial SSU rRNA". It matches the Rfam family "Bacterial small subunit ribosomal RNA", at positions 27 to 1321 of the family's 1533-position model. Lineage: Bacteria; Bacillati; Bacillota; Bacilli; Caryophanales; Bacillaceae. The record is from RNAcentral.
GGACGAACGCUGGCGGCGUGCCUAAUACAUGCAAGUCGAGCGGACAGAAGGGAGCUUGCUCCCGGAUGUUAGCGGCGGACGGGUGAGUAACACGUGGGUAACCUGCCUGUAAGACUGGGAUAACUCCGGGAAACCGGAGCUAAUACCGGAUAGUUCCUUGAACCGCAUGGUUCAAGGAUGAAAGACGGUUUCGGCUGUCACUUACAGAUGGACCCGCGGCGCAUUAGCUAGUUGGUGAGGUAACGGCUCACCAAGGCGACGAUGCGUAGCCGACCUGAGAGGGUGAUCGGCCACACUGGGACUGAGACACGGCCCAGACUCCUACGGGAGGCAGCAGUAGGGAAUCUUCCGCAAUGGACGAAAGUCUGACGGAGCAACGCCGCGUGAGUGAUGAAGGUUUUCGGAUCGUAAAGCUCUGUUGUUAGGGAAGAACAAGUGCAAGAGUAACUGCUUGCACCUUGACGGUACCUAACCAGAAAGCCACGGCUAACUACGUGCCAGCAGCCGCGGUAAUACGUAGGUGGCAAGCGUUGUCCGGAAUUAUUGGGCGUAAAGGGCUCGCAGGCGGUUUCUUAAGUCUGAUGUGAAAGCCCCCGGCUCAACCGGGGAGGGUCAUUGGAAACUGGGAAACUUGAGUGCAGAAGAGGAGAGUGGAAUUCCACGUGUAGCGGUGAACUGCGUAGAGAUGUGGAGGAACACCAGUGGCGAAGGCGACUCUCUGGUCUGUAACUGACGCUGAGGAGCGAAAGCGUGGGGAGCGAACAGGAUUAGAUACCCUGGUAGUCCACGCCGUAAACGAUGAGUGCUAAGUGUUAGGGGGUUUCCGCCCCUUAGUGCUGCAGCUAACGCAUUAAGCACUCCGCCUGGGGAGUACGGUCGCAAGACUGAAACUCAAAGGAAUUGACGGGGGCCCGCACAAGCGGUGGAGCAUGUGGUUUAAUUCGAAGCAACGCGAAGAACCUUACCAGGUCUUGACAUCCUCUGACAACCCUAGAGAUAGGGCUUUCCCUUCGGGGACAGAGUGACAGGUGGUGCAUGGUUGUCGUCAGCUCGUGUCGUGAGAUGUUGGGUUAAGUCCCGCAACGAGCGCAACCCUUGAUCUUAGUUGCCAGCAUUCAGUUGGGCACUCUAAGGUGACUGCCGGUGACAAACCGGAGGAAGGUGGGGAUGACGUCAAAUCAUCAUGCCCCUUAUGACCUGGGCUACACACGUGCUACAAUGGACAGAACAAAGGGCUGCGAGACCGCAAGGUUUAGCCAAUCCCACAAAUCUGUUCUCAGUUCGGAUCGCAGUCUGCAACUCGACUGCGU